GUGGGGGUCUGUGUAUAUUUGUAAACAGCUGGUGCACGAAAUCUAAUAUUAAGGAAGUCUCAAGGUUUUGCUCACCUGAGGUAGAGUAUCUCACGAUAAGCUGUAGACCACACUAUUUACUAAGAGAGUUCUAAUCUAUAUUUUUCGUGGGCUGUCUAUUUACCAUCACAAACUGAUGCUGCCGCUAAGACCGCACUCAAUGAGCUGUAUAAGGCCGUAAGCAAACAGGAAAAAGCUCAUCCAGAGGCAGCGUCCUACUGGCCGGGGACUUUAAACGCAGGGAAACUUAAAUCCAUUUUACCUAAUUUCUACCAGCAUGUUUAAAUGUGCAACCAGAGGAAAAAAUACUCGACCACCUUUACUCCACACACGGAGAUGCAUACCAAGUUCUACCUCGCCCUCCAUUUGGCAAAUCUGACCAUAAUUCUAUGGGAUUCUGGGUUUCUUCUGAUGGCAUUGAUGAGUACAUCACAUCAGUCACUGGCUUCCUCAAUAAGUGCAUCGAUGACGUUGUCCCCACAGUGACCGUACGUACAUACCCCAACCAGAAGCCAUGGAUUACAGGCAACAUCCGCACUGAGCUAAAGGGUAGAGCUGCCGCUUUCCAAGGAGCGGGACUCUAACCCGGACGCUUAUAAGAAAUCCCGCUAAGCCCUCCGACGAACCAUCAAACAGGCAAACCGUCAAUACACGACUAAUAUUAAAUCGUACUAUACCGGCUCUGACGCUCGACGGAUGUGGCAGGACAUGCAAAAUGUUAGACUACAAAGAGAAGCACAGCCACAAGCUGCCCAGUGGCACAAGCCGACCAGACGAGCUAAAUUAAUUCUAUGCUCGCUUCGAGGCUAGCAACACUGAAGCAUGUAUGAUAGCAUCAGCUGUUCCGGACGACUGUGUGAUCACGCUCUCCGUAGCCAAUGUGAGUAAGACCUUUUAAACAGGUCAACAUUCACAAGGCCGCAGGACCAGACGGAUUACCAAGACGUGUACUCCGAGCAUGCGCUGACCAACUGGCAAGUGUCUUCACUGACAUUUUCAACCUGUCCCUGACUGAGUCUAAUACCAACAUGUUUCAUGCAGACCACCAUAGUCGAAUGAUUGGAUGACCCUUGGAUACAGCAGCCAGUAACUGAGGCACAGCAGAUGGAACCAGCGUUGGCAUGCAAAACAUUCAAUCAAAACAAAGCCAAGCGUAACACGUUAUAAAUAAUAUCAAAUAUCAAUGCAGUAUGACGAAUGAGCCAUCCAUUGUGUUAUAUCAUAAAUUGUCUUACAUGCCGUCACUGUUGUCAAAAGAUUAUAAACAUGUUAAAUAAAGUUACUAACCCAGUCAGUCUUUGGGCCACAUCCAGGUUCUUUAUCAGUGGCACACAUGAAGCAGUUGGCUUUGUUGAACUCUGAAAUCAUAGGCAUGAACUGAACAUAUGGCUGUCUGACAACUACAUAAAAAUAAAGAAUUUACAUUUACUUUGAAUUAAAUGUCAUUACAUACCAGACAUUUUUAGCAUAUCCUCAGCCAUUUCUUUUCGCAGUUGCUCCAUGUGUUUUUGAAAGUUCCAUAUCAAUUUGGGAGGGGAUGUUGGGGAAGUUCUGUGCAACUUCCUUGGCCAUCUACACCAAGAAAUAAAAUAGUUUAACC
This 1639-nucleotide long non-coding RNA is filed under the name Salmo salar (Atlantic salmon). Its description in RNAcentral is "lncRNA (ENSSSAG00000112686.1, ENSSSAG00000119208.1)". The record is from RNAcentral. Lineage: Eukaryota; Metazoa; Chordata; Actinopteri; Salmoniformes; Salmonidae.